UACGGAGGGUGCAAGCGUUAUCCGGAUUCACUGGGUUUAAAGGGUGCGUAGGCGGGCAGGUAAGUCCGUGGUGAAAUCUCUGAGCUUAACUCAGGAACUGCCAUGGAUACUAUUUGUCUUGAAUAUUGUGGAGGUAAGCGGAAUAUGUCAUGUAGCGGUGAAAUGCUUAGAUAUGACAUAGAACACCAAUUGCGAAGGCAGCUUACUACACAGUAAUUGACGCUGAGGCACGAAAGCGUGGGGAUCAAACAGG
This 253-nucleotide ribosomal RNA is filed under the name uncultured bacterium. RNAcentral describes it as "partial 16S ribosomal RNA". It matches the Rfam family "Bacterial small subunit ribosomal RNA", at positions 524 to 776 of the family's 1533-position model. The record is from RNAcentral.